AUGAACGCUGCGGCGUGCAUAAUACAUGCAAGUCGAACGGAAUUUAAAAGAGCUUGCUCUUUUAAAUUUAGUGGCGCACGGGUGAGUAAUAUAUAGCUAAUCUGCCCCUUGCUGGAGGACAACAGUUAGAAAUGACUGCUAAUACUCCAUACUCCUUUUUACCAUAAGAUAAAUCGGGAAAGAAUUUCGGCAAGGGAUGAGACUAUAUCGUAUCAGCUAGUCGGUGGGGUAACGGCUACCGAGGCUAUGAUGCGUAACUGGUCUGAGAGGAUGAUCAGUCACAUUGGAACUGAGACACGGUCCAAACUCCUACGGGAGGCAGCAGUAGGGAAUAUUGCGCAAUGGGGGAAACCCUGACGCAGCAACGCCGCGUGGAGGAUGACACUUUUCGGAGCGUAAACUCUUUUGUUAGGGAAGAAUAAUGACGUACCUAACG
This 436-nucleotide ribosomal RNA is filed under the name Campylobacter gracilis. Its description in RNAcentral is "bacterial SSU rRNA". It matches the Rfam family "Bacterial small subunit ribosomal RNA", at positions 29 to 484 of the family's 1533-position model. The record is from RNAcentral. Lineage: Bacteria; Pseudomonadati; Campylobacterota; Epsilonproteobacteria; Campylobacterales; Campylobacteraceae.